Molecule: ribosomal RNA, 433 nt
Filed under: uncultured bacterium
Lineage: Bacteria
Description: partial 16S ribosomal RNA
Rfam family: Bacterial small subunit ribosomal RNA
Source: RNAcentral
AACGAGCGCUGGCGGCAUGCCUAACACAUGCAAGUCGAACGAGACCUUCGGGUCUAGUGGCGCACGGGUGCGUAACGCGUGGGAACCUGCCCUUAGGUUCGGAAUAACUCCCCGAAAGGGGUGCUAAUACCGGAUAAUGUCUUCGGACCAAAGAUUUAUCGCCUUUGGAUGGGCCCGCGUUGGAUUAGCUAGUUGGUAGGGUAAAAGCCUACCAAGGCGACGAUCCAUAGCUGGUCUGAGAGGAUGAUCAGCCACACUGGGACUGAGACACGGCCCAGACUCCUACGGGAGGCAGCAGUGGGGAAUAUUGGACAAUGGGCGAAAGCCUGAUCCAGCAAUGCCGCGUGAGUGAUGAAGGCCUUAGGGUUGUAAAGCUCCUUUACCCGGGAUGAUAAUGACAGUACCGGGAGAAUAAGCGCCGGCUAACUCCGUG